CCCGCUGCAAGAGACAUGAGCUCCAAAUUUAGGUUGGGAGGUAUCUCAUCCUCAGGAUCCAUUUUAUUCUCGAACGCGACUUCAAAGACUCUGAUUUCUCCUUCGUAUAUACUUUCUCUGUUCUCCUCAAAAAAAUUAGAUGCUUAAAUCAAGCAACAUCUAAGAUAAUCUACUUAUUAGGAAGUUAGUGGAUUUAUGACUGAGCCACCUCGUCUUCGAUUUUCCAGUCUGUUAUUUUGGUGGUGAUCUAGAUUGAAGAGAUUACAUUUCCAGGAGGGUGAGUCUUUCUUCC
RNAcentral lists this long non-coding RNA (292 nucleotides) under Brassica rapa (field mustard). RNAcentral describes it as "long non-coding RNA (BRAP_LNC006087)". Lineage: Eukaryota; Viridiplantae; Streptophyta; Magnoliopsida; Brassicales; Brassicaceae. The record is from RNAcentral.